CAGUCGCCGCGGUAAUACGAAGGGGGCUAGCGUUGUUCGGAAUUACUGGGCGUAAAGCGCACGUAGGCGGAUACUUAAGUUAGGGGUGAAAUCCCAGGGCUCAACCCUGGAACUGCCUUUAAUACUGGGUAUCUUGAGUUCGAGAGAGGUAAGUGGAAUUCCGAGUGUAGAGGUGAAAUUCGUAGAUAUUCGGAGGAACACCAGUGGCGAAGGCGGCUUACUGGCUCGAUACUGACGCUGAGGUGCGAAAGCGUGGGGAGCAAACAGGAUUAGAUACCCCGGUAGUCCCUGUCUCUUAUAC
This 301-nucleotide ribosomal RNA is filed under the name uncultured bacterium. Its description in RNAcentral is "partial 16S ribosomal RNA". It matches the Rfam family "Bacterial small subunit ribosomal RNA", at positions 509 to 807 of the family's 1533-position model. The record is from RNAcentral.